UACGGGAAGGGCAAGCGUUAUCCGGCGUGACUGGGCGUAAAGCGUGCGCAGGCGGUGAUGUAAGUCAGGUGUGAAAUCCCCGGGCUUAACCUGGGAACUGCAUUUGUGACUGCAUCGCUGGAGUGCGGCAGAGGGGGAUGGAAUUCCGCGUGUAGCAGUGAAAUGCGUAGAUAUGCGGAGGAACACCGAUGGCGAAGGCGAUCCCCUGGGCCUGCACUGACGCUCAUGCACGAAAGCGUGGGGAGCAAACAGG
RNAcentral lists this ribosomal RNA (253 nucleotides) under uncultured bacterium. RNAcentral's name for it is "partial 16S ribosomal RNA". It matches the Rfam family "Bacterial small subunit ribosomal RNA", at positions 524 to 776 of the family's 1533-position model. The record is from RNAcentral.